GACGGAGGAUGCAAGCGUUAUCCGGAAUGAUUGGGCGUAAAGCGUCCGCAGGUGGCAGUUCAAGUCUGCUGUCAAAGACCGGGGCUUAACUUCGGAAAGGCAGUGGAAACUGAACAGCUAGAGUAUGGUAGGGGCAGAGGGAAUUCCUGGUGUAGCGGUGAAAUGCGCAGAUAUCGGGAGGAACACCGAUGGCGAAGGCAGGUCACUGGGCUGAUACUGACGCUGAGGCGCGAAAGCUAGGGGAGCGAACGGG
Molecule: ribosomal RNA, 253 nt
Filed under: uncultured bacterium
Lineage: Bacteria
Description: partial 16S ribosomal RNA
Rfam family: Bacterial small subunit ribosomal RNA
Source: RNAcentral